This 28-nucleotide small RNA is filed under the name Bombyx mori (domestic silkworm). RNAcentral describes it as "ovarian small RNA-36366". The record is from RNAcentral. Lineage: Eukaryota; Metazoa; Arthropoda; Insecta; Lepidoptera; Bombycidae.
UUAAGGACAGCACUGACCUCAGGGUCAU